UGGGGAGACGGGCGGCGGCCGGGUUACCUGGGAGAGCCUGGGUUGGAAGGGAUGAGACCUUCUCUUCUCUCCGUAGUCCGGCAGCUUCGCUCUUCCCAGCACUUUGCAUUUAUUAAUUUCCGCUUCCUGAAGUCUAGCAACAAGUGGGGGACAGAACCUGCCUCUGUCAGAAAGAGAAACUGAGGUCCCGAGGGUCUCCUCGCUUGGCACAAUGACUGGAAUUUGAGUUGCAUAGGGCCGUCCGACACGUGUUCCCGUCCAGUCCCAGAAAUUGGCGUAAAAAUUAUCCAGCUUCACCUUGGAGAAUUUUGCCCAGUCAUAACCCCAGGAAGGUGCCUGGAUUCCAACGCCAUCCAGCCCUGCCCAUUCUCCCAAACACAUGCCUCGCCUCCUCCCCGUGUCCUGGACUUCCAUCUGACCCAGAAGCCCCUGCCUGAAAAUGCAGAAACAGAAGCUCACAGAAGACUGGUAAUGUGUCCAAGGUCACAAGACUAGCUUAAGAAAGAGCCAGCCUUCACGACCUCCUAACUGCCUGCUCCAGUGCCUGCCAAAGUGCCCUUCCUUCUUGCCAGAAACAGGACAGCUAACUUCAAAGGGCAAAAGAAGCAAACAUCACUGCACUUCUCCAAAAGACAGUAUAACGAAUAUAGCAGCACUGCCUUGGUGUUUAAGUUCCAUUGCACUAACGUACCAUCUGUUUGACCUUGAACAAGACAUAUCAUUAAAUCCCUGUGAGCCUCUGACUGCUCAUCUAUAAAAGGAGAUGAUGAUAACAAAUUCUGCCUCCUUGGACUGGCAAGAAAACCAAAUCAGUAAAGAAUAUAUAUGAAGGUACAUGUACUUUGAACUUACAAAUGAAAAGAGUGAGUGUUAGACCUUGGUAUCUGUGACUCAGUAAAGUGACCAAUGACAAAGCCCAGGGAUUUUGAUGCUAAAUUCAAAUAUCAAACAAGAUUCCUUACUUUGUCCCCCAAGUAUCUAUAGGAAGAGUUUAGUACAAAGUGAACUAAAUUUUUUCUACCUACAGAAGAGAUAGAAG
Long non-coding RNA from Bos taurus (domestic cattle), 1039 nucleotides. The record is from Ensembl. Lineage: Eukaryota; Metazoa; Chordata; Mammalia; Artiodactyla; Bovidae.